RNAcentral lists this transfer RNA (63 nucleotides) under Postharmostomum commutatum. RNAcentral describes it as "tRNA-Thr". It matches the Rfam family "tRNA". From Rfam's summary of the family: Transfer RNA (tRNA) molecules are approximately 80 nucleotides in length. Lineage: Eukaryota; Metazoa; Platyhelminthes; Trematoda; Diplostomida; Brachylaimidae. The record is from RNAcentral.
GGAAGGGUAGUUUAGGUUAAAAUAGCACUUUUGUAAUGUGUAGAUGUUUUAGAACUCCUUCUA